Musa acuminata AAA Group (dessert banana) is the source of this 9140-nucleotide long non-coding RNA. RefSeq lists it as uncharacterized. Lineage: Eukaryota; Viridiplantae; Streptophyta; Magnoliopsida; Zingiberales; Musaceae. The transcript has 3 exons. The record is from RefSeq and is a predicted model, not a curated record.
CUUAGGUUCUCUGUAAUAUCCCUCGCUUUUAAAAAUUAUUAAUAAAGAUUUAUAUGUAAAUUGGAGGACCUAUAUGUAAAUAUAGAAAUUACAAGGACUAAACUGCUAAGUUGCAAAAAAAAAAAAAAAAAAAAAAGGGAAAACCGAAAAUUCGGUAUUAUCCCACCGCCUCCCACGCACUCUGUUUCUUCCAGAAACAGAGAGAGCGGUGGGGCGUGAGGAGAAGAAGGAGAGUGGUAGAAGAAGAGAGGAAGAAGAGGGAGAAGAGAAGAAGAAGAAGAAGAAGAAGAAGAAGAAGAGGGAAAAGAAGAGAGGAGGAAGAAGAGGGAGUAGAGAAGAAGAAGAAGGAGAAGAAGAAGAAGAGGAGGUGGCUGCAGCGAGGGCUGCAGCGAGAAGCUGUGGGGCGUGGGGAGAAGAAGAGAGGAAGAAGAGGGAGAAGAGAAGAAGAAGAAGAAGAAGAAGAGAAGAGGAUAGCUGCGGCAAGGCUGCAGCGAGGAGGUGUGGGGUUGGGGAGGAAAAGGGAAGAGGAGAAGAAGAGGGAAAAGAGAGGGAAGAGGGAGAGGAGCGAGAGGUGGCAGCAGCUAGGGCUGCAGCACCUCUGUUUCCUGCAGGUGGAAACAGAGGAGAGGUGUGGGGCGUUCGAAGAGGAGAAGAAGAAGAAGAGGAAGAGAAGAGGAAGAGGAAGCAGGGGAAGAGGUUGUGAUACCUCUGUUUCCUGCAGAGGAAACAGAGGAGAGGGUGUGGGUGACGUCGGGGAGAAGAAGGGGAGGAAGGAGAAGAAGAGAAGAAGAAGAAAGGAAGGAAAAGGAAGAGGAGAAGGGAAGAAAGUAGCUGCGGCUGCGGUUGUGGCAGCUGCAGCUGUGGCAGGGAAAGAAGAAGAGAAAGGAAGAAGGGGAGGAGAGGAAGAAGAGUAGGGGCUGCGGCUGCGGCGAUGGCAGCUGCAGUUGGAAGAGAAGAAGGAGAGGAAGAUGAGCAGGGGAGGAAGAAAAGGCUGUGGCCGUGGCUGAGGCUGCGACUGCAGCAUGCAACUGGGAAAGAAGAGAAGGAAAGGAAGAAGAAGAGAAAGGAAGAAGGGAAGGAGAGGAAGAAGAGAAGGGGCUGCGGCUGCGGCGAUGGCAGCUGCAGUUGGAAGAGAAGAAGGAGAGGAAGAUGAGCAGGGGAGGAAGAAAAGGCUGUGGCCGUGGCUGAGGCUGCGACUGCAGCAUGCAACUGGGAAAGAAGAGAAGGAAAGGAAGAAGAAGAGAAAGGAAGAAGGGAAGGAGAGGAAGAAGAGAAGGGGCUACGGCUGCGGCGAUGGCAGCUGCAGUUGGAAGAGAAGAAGGAGAGGAAGAUGAGCAGGGGAGGAAGAAGAGGCUGCGAGUGUGGUGGCUGCGGCCGUGGCUGCGACUCCGGCUGCGGCUGCAACGUUGGCUGCGGUAGCUGCGGCAGCGGUGGUGGCUGCAGUAGCUGCAGUAGCUGCUUUUGGGAAAGAGAAAGAGUAGGAACGAGAGAAGGGAAGAAGGAAAUAGUGCAGUGGAAGGGGGCUGCGGUUGUGACCGCAGUUGCGGUCGUGGCUGCGAUUGUGGCAGCGGCAGCGACGGCGGCUGUGGCAGCUGCGUUUGGGAAAGAAAAAAAGAAGGAAUGAGAGUAAGAGAGAGCAGGUGACUGUGCCUCGAUGUUCGACACGUGAUGUAGUUGCGAAGAAAGGAAGAAAACGGGAGCACAAAACGAAACAGAGAGAGGACACGGAGAAAAAGUAGAAGGAUUUGGGCUGGCACCUUCUUUGGAAUUUCGGAUCGAAAUCAUUGAAAGGCAAGUUUUCUGAUUCUUCCUAUUGCAAGUUUCCCGCUUGUUUCAAUCCUUUCUAUUGCAAGUUCCCUGUUCGUUUCUCCUAUAAUCGCUCUGAUAUGUCUUAUUGCAAGUUCCCUGAUCGUUUCUCCUAUAAUUGCUCUGAUAUGUCUUAUUGCAAGUAUCCUGAUCUUUCUUCACUGCCAAUUUUAUCUCCACAUUUGCUUUGAAUAUGAGGAACUUUGGAUUGUACUAGCCUUGCAUUUGUUAUAUCUCCUGUUUACAUGUAACGAUUCGAAUCUGUGCAACUUUUGAGAUUCUGAUCUUUUGAUACCGAACUGCCUAUAAGACUUUGUGGUAACUCUGAUUUGUUCAAAACUGAUUUCAUUGGAAACUAGACUCGUAGACCUUUCUUUGAUAUAUGGAUUGAAAGAUCUGAAAUCCAAACACCUGCCCAGUUAUCUGUUGAAUCUGACAUUAUGAAUUCUGCCAACAGAGAUUUUGUUCUAUGACUCUUGCUUACCAAAUUAUUUGUAACUCUCUCUGUUGGACAGUUCAAUUCAUAUGAAGUCUGUCUUAUCUGAAAGUAUUAUCCAAUGAUUAUUUCUGAGUAAAUUGGAGCACGAUUGAUAGUUUGAAUCAUUUGUUCAAUGUGCCUUCUGUAUUCUGCCAGAAAUCGAGCUUUGGUCGAUUUCUCAUAUUCUGGUUUCAUUCCUUUGGAAAUUGAUAUCCUUUAGCCUUCUUAUUCAAUUGAGCUUUAUAUUACUACUUUGAAUUCUUGUAUGCUCUUGUCCUUAAAAUUAUUGCAUUCUUGAAAACUGUUGUGUAACGUUUAUGCUAUAUCGUAUUGACUCAUAUAGGCACAUGUAUAUCCUAUUGUUCCGCAUUUGCUUUCGAUAUGUGCCUAUUCCAGUUUCAUUCCUUUGGACAUUGAAUUCAUCAAAUCUUCUUAUUGAAUUGAGUUAUUUGUGAUUGCUUGGAUUCCAUAUGUGCCCUUGCUUUCAAUUCCCUUCAAAUCUGAAUAUACUUGUGAAAGAUUAUUGCUUACUUCGGAUUGACUCGUAAAGGCACAUGUACGUUUGUUGUUCCGCGUGUGCUUCCGAUAUGUGCUACUUAUUGUUGAAACUGUCCUUUUGUACUCUGGUGUGUGGGAUCGUCUGGACCUUUGCCAGAAAUGGUAAAAGGUAUGCGCUGAUUUGCCCGCUUUGUGGGGUCCCGCUUUGUGGGAUAUUCUGGUAUGCGCGAUUUGCCCGCUUUGUGGGGUCCCGCUUUGUGGGGUCCCGCUUUGUGGGAUAUUGCUGACUGAGAUCCCACUACACCCUCUAUAUGUUUGAAUGACAUCCAGAGUUUUGGUGAGUUAUUUAUGUUCGUGCUCUGGAUAGUUAUGAUAUGAUUGCAACGUCAAGGACGACGUUUGAGAUUCUGUACGACAUAUGAGUUUGAUAUGCUCUGAAAUGCUUCAUUCACUGAUGAUAUGCUUCGAAAUGUUCCAUAUGCCGUUGAUAUGCUCCGGAACAUUUCAUAUGCCAUUUAUAUGCUCCAAUUACUCUGUGCUCCAUUUGCUAUGAACUGAUAUGUUCUGAAAUGUCCUAUCUGCCAUUGAUAUGUUCCAAUUACUCUGUGCUCCAUUUGCUAUGAACUGAUAUGUUCUGAAAUGUCCUAUCUGCCAUUGAUAUGUUCCAAGUACUCUGUGCUCCAUUUGCUAUGAACUGAUAUGUUCUGAAAUGUCCAAUCUGCCAUUGAUAUGUUCCAAUUACUCUAUGCCCCAUUCGUUAUGGAUCAAAUAUGUUUUUGAAUGACAUGAUACGUAUGAUUUGGUAUCUAUUGAGAUGGUAUCCUUGAGAAUUCUUGUAUUCUGCCUUGCAUUAUGAUACCUUACUCGUUUGAAACCGUUCCUUUUGUUCUGAAUAUGCUUUGUCACUUGUUGAGCCGUUUUUGGCUCACUCCGUUGUUAUAUAAAUCUUUCAGGUCAGCUUGUCACUCUUCGAGAUGUUUGAUUUGGGCUGAGGCAAUGGAUAGCUAUUCAGAAUAAUGGGCAAGUCUGGUUGGUUAUUACGAUAUUGUUGUAUAAGUAUGUCUUGUAUGUAAUGAAAUGUUGUCGAUGAACCGAAAUGGAUAUACUGUGUCAAAGUGUUAGGAGAUCUCUCUUAUUUGGAAUUUCAGAAUGUUAAGUCUAAUUUAUGAUGAUAUGAACUUGUGGUGAAUAGUUGGAGUUCUGAUUGUAUAAAUUAUUUAGCUUGUGGAUUUAUAAAUGUUGUUUAUGUUUGUCAAGUUGGCUUGGGUUGCCAUAAAUGUGAAUUAUCGAGUGAUGUGAUAUAUGAUUAUAAACUGCACAGGUUUUAUGGAUGUGAAUAUGAAUAGAAUGUUUUCAGUGUCCUCAAACGUUAGUUUGGAUCCUGGAUUGGUCUGUGACGAAAAUUUUAAAAAUCAUGGAUAUUUAGAGGGGCGUGACAGAGGUGGUAUCAGAGCAUUGUUUGAGGAUUACUGAAAUAUUUGAUAUGUUGACGUGCAAAAUAUAUUGAGGUCUAAUGAAACUAUAGUGAUUGGUGGAAAUUUUCUUUGAUGUAUUUUAGGAAUCUAGGAUGACGAUGACAUUUAGUCCUCCUACUUCAUCUGAUUUUGAUUAAUUAAGUGGGAUGAAAGGGGUAAUCGGGGAUAUUGAAUCAGAGUGGCGCAGUGGAAGCAUGGUGGACCUAAUUUCAUUGGUGGUAGAAAAAUGAAUGAUGCAAACAGAGAAGAUAUUUGAUGUACAAAAUUGUUUUGAUGAUCAAAAGAUUUCUUUUGCCACCUUAUAUUGGAAGUAGAGGCUGAUUAUUAUUGGCAACAAUGAAAAGAAUUUUUGGAGAUCAGUGACAAGAAUGAUAAGGACAAGUUUACCAAUAAGAAUAUGAUUGGAAAUGAAUCAGAAAGUAAUGACAAGAGGGUCAAGACAUUUGGAUUUGAAAAGGAAAGUCACCACCAAAGACUUAAUCAUGUGUGAAUUACAAGUUAAAUUAUGAAACAAGUUUGUGUUUUCGGGUGAUUGGAGUCUAUUUUGCUUGUAGAAAGUUGGAUCAUAAAAUAAAAGUUUGCCCUUUGAACAAGAAGAAAGAGUCACUGCCUCCUAAAUCAUUAGCCCAUGUAAGAGUGUAUGCUAUCACUAAAUAUGAUUCUGAAACUUCUGAAUUAGUGGUCAAAGGUAUUAUGCAUGUUUAUGAAAGAAUGCAAAUAUUUGUUUGACCAUGGGUCCCAUCUAUGAUUUGAUUCGGAAUAUUCUGCCUAUCACUUGGGUAUUCAACCUAGACCACUACAUUAUGUGCUAUAUGUAAAUACGAUCAUUGGAGAUUCUUUGAUAACGAACUUGAAUCUGGUCCUCUUGUCUGAUUUUUGUUGGAGAACUUGAACUUUUGCUGAUUUAGUUCUCCUAGAGAUUUGGAGUUAUGAUAUUAUACUUGGUAUGGAUUGGCCAUCUUCUUAUCAUACCAGUAUGGAUUGAUAUAUAACAAAUGAUCACUUUUUGUAUAUUUGAUCAGUCGAUCUUUUACUUUGAGAGUAUGAGACAUGAUUUAUCUCCUUGCCUAAUGUAUCCAGGAUGACUUGCUUGGAUUACCUCCAAAUGUGACUUUGCUUUUGAUUUGGUCAUUGGGAUAAUCCCAAUAUCUAAGCCUCUCUACAGAAAGAUAUCAUUUGAGUAAGUGGAAUUGGAAAAGCAACUACAAGGAUUGUUAAAUGAGGAUUUUAUUUGGCUUAAUAUUUCAUCAUGGGGUGCUCCGGUGUUAGUUAAAAGAAAUGUAUGGAACAUUGAGGCUUUGUAAUGAUUAUAGACAGUUGAAUUAGGUGACCAUCAAAAACGAGUAUUUUCUGAAGUAACGACUUGCUCGAGUAAUUACAGGGUACGCAAGUAUUUUUAGAAAUUGAUUGAAGGUCGGGUUACCGUCUAUUGAGGAUCAAGGAGGAAAAUAUUUCGGUCACUCGUGGAGAAUUAUGUAAUUGUAUUGUAUUGAUGAAACUAUUUAAGAGUAGGAGGAGGAAAUAAAGAUAUCAUAAUCCUCAUCUUUUCAUCGAUUGAGCUAUGAUCAAUUUAGAGGACUAAAUUUUCUUUUAAGGGGGGGGAGAGUGUAAUAUCCCUCGCUUUUAAAAAUUAUUAAUAAAGAUUUAUAUGUAAAUUGGAGGACCUAUAUGUAAAUAUAGAAAUUACAAGGACUAAACUGCUAAGUUGCAAAAAAAAAAAGAAAAAAAAAAGGGAAAACCGAAAAUUCGGUAUUAUCCCACCGCCUCCCACGCACUCUGUUUCUUCCAGAAACAGAGAGAGCGGUGGGGCGUGAGGAGAAGAAGGAGAGUGGUAGAAGAAGAGAGGAAGAAGAGGGAGAAGAGAAGAAGAAGAAGAAGAAGAAGAAGAAGAAGAGGGAAAAGAAGAGAGGAGGAAGAAGAGGGAGUAGAGAAGAAGAAGAAGGAGAAGAAGAAGAAGAGGAGGUGGCUGCAGCGAGGGCUGCAGCGAGAAGCUGUGGGGCGUGGGGAGAAGAAGAGAGGAAGAAGAGGGAGAAGAGAAGAAGAAGAAGAAGAAGAAGAGAAGAGGAUAGCUGCGGCAAGGCUGCAGCGAGGAGGUGUGGGGUUGGGGAGGAAAAGGGAAGAGGAGAAGAAGAGGGAAAAGAGAGGGAAGAGGGAGAGGAGCGAGAGGUGGCAGCAGCUAGGGCUGCAGCACCUCUGUUUCCUGCAGGUGGAAACAGAGGAGAGGUGUGGGGCGUUCGAAGAGGAGAAGAAGAAGAAGAGGAAGAGAAGAGGAAGAGGAAGCAGGGGAAGAGGUUGUGAUACCUCUGUUUCCUGCAGAGGAAACAGAGGAGAGGGUGUGGGUGACGUCGGGGAGAAGAAGGGGAGGAAGGAGAAGAAGAGAAGAAGAAGAAAGGAAGGAAAAGGAAGAGGAGAAGGGAAGAAAGUAGCUGCGGCUGCGGUUGUGGCAGCUGCAGCUGUGGCAGGGAAAGAAGAAGAGAAAGGAAGAAGGGGAGGAGAGGAAGAAGAGUAGGGGCUGCGGCUGCGGCGAUGGCAGCUGCAGUUGGAAGAGAAGAAGGAGAGGAAGAUGAGCAGGGGAGGAAGAAAAGGCUGUGGCCGUGGCUGAGGCUGCGACUGCAGCAUGCAACUGGGAAAGAAGAGAAGGAAAGGAAGAAGAAGAGAAAGGAAGAAGGGAAGGAGAGGAAGAAGAGAAGGGGCUGCGGCUGCGGCGAUGGCAGCUGCAGUUGGAAGAGAAGAAGGAGAGGAAGAUGAGCAGGGGAGGAAGAAAAGGCUGUGGCCGUGGCUGAGGCUGCGACUGCAGCAUGCAACUGGGAAAGAAGAGAAGGAAAGGAAGAAGAAGAGAAAGGAAGAAGGGAAGGAGAGGAAGAAGAGAAGGGGCUACGGCUGCGGCGAUGGCAGCUGCAGUUGGAAGAGAAGAAGGAGAGGAAGAUGAGCAGGGGAGGAAGAAGAGGCUGCGAGUGUGGUGGCUGCGGCCGUGGCUGCGACUCCGGCUGCGGCUGCAACGUUGGCUGCGGUAGCUGCGGCAGCGGUGGUGGCUGCAGUAGCUGCAGUAGCUGCUUUUGGGAAAGAGAAAGAGUAGGAACGAGAGAAGGGAAGAAGGAAAUAGUGCAGUGGAAGGGGGCUGCGGUUGUGACCGCAGUUGCGGUCGUGGCUGCGAUUGUGGCAGCGGCAGCGACGGCGGCUGUGGCAGCUGCGUUUGGGAAAGAAAAAAAGAAGGAAUGAGAGUAAGAGAGAGCAGAUGACUGUGCCUCGAUGUUCGACACGUGAUGUAGUUGCGAAGAAAGGAAGAAAACGGGAGCACAAAACGAAACAGAGAGAGGACACGGAGAAAAAGUAGAAGGAUUUGGGCUGGCACCUUCUUUGGAAUUUCGGAUCGAAAUCAUUGAAAGGUCAGCUUGUCACUCUUCGAGAUGUUUGAUUUGGGCUGAGGCAGUGGAUAGCUAUUCAGAAUAAUGGGCAAGUCUGGUUGGUUAUUACGAUAUUGUUGUAUAAGUAUGUCUUGUAUGUAAUGAAAUGUUGUCGAUGAACCGAAAUGGAUAUACUGUGUCAAAGUGUUAGGAGAUCUCUCUUAUUUGGAAUUUCAGAAUGUUAAGUCUAAUUUAUGGUGAUAUGAACUUGUGGUGAAUAGUUGGAGUUCUGAUUGUAUAAAUUAUUUAGCUUGUGGAUUUAUAAAUGUUGUUUAUGUUUGUCAAGUUGGCUUGGGUUGCCAUAAAUGUGAAUUAUCGAGUGAUGUGAUAUAUGAUUAUAAACUGCACAGGUUUUAUGGAUGUGAAUAUGAAUAGAAUGUUUUCAGUGUCCUCAAACGUUAGUUUGGAUCCUGGAUUGGUCUGUGACGAAAAUUUUAAAAAUCAUGGAUAUUUAGAGGGGCGUGACAUUCUCUAUUCCUCGGGUUGGGCAAUGAUCAUUUGACCUGAUAUCCAGGUACCUUUGCUUAUAUAUCGAUGCACUAAAAGUUAUUUAAGUUCUUCCUCCAUCCCUUUGUCUCGUAGUGCCUUCAAUGGUGGAGAAUUUCUCCUUCUCAAAUGGUAACCAAUUUAUGGUACUAUUCAAUUGCCUUCCGAGGGGUCGACACAAACUCAACUCUAAACUUGUUCCACCCUUAUUUUCUGAGUUUACAAGAGGGUCAGUGGAUUCUUUCUUGUGACUCGGGAGGGAUUCAUAAUGAGGGAUGUCAUGACCUUCAAUUAGAGUUGGAAGGGACAAUACUUUUUCAUCAGCAUCAAUCUAGACUGAGGCAUCGGUUUGAUCAUCGCACACUUUCACCGACAGAGGAGGAGAUAAGUACGAUGCUUUGGCCAGGAGAAAUCCUUUUAUAUUUCUCUAAUAUCAAGCCAAUGGAUGAAGAAGGGUUAAUUGUGGCCAGUUUAGUCUCGCUCCUCGGGCGAUGAACCUCAUGGAUCUCAAGAAAAAGGCAAGGUGAUACCUCCUCGUUCGAGGCGUCGGUUCACCAAUCUCUCGCCGCGCCCAUGGUGCCCCCACCAGAACCCUUCGCACCAGCUCUUCGGGCAACCAAGCCGAAGCCGAAAUCGUAGCUUCCGCAGGGGGCCUCGGCGUCAUCCCCACAAGCUGCUCGUGUCCUCCGGAAGCGAGGGAUCAUCCAGACAAAAAAAGCUGUCUGAGGUCUCAGGGAGCUGACCCCCGAGUCCAAAGGAGCUGGGACGGAAGAUGUAUGCACGUAUGAUCAAAAGGAUUAAAACACGUCCACCCUUGGUUACAUGCAUGCUCGCCAAGUCAUGAGAUGGAUACGUUGUACACCUCCGAGAUUUAUGCAGCACACGAAGAACCACUUCCAUUAACAUUUUUCAGAACAUAAAAUGGAUCAGGUACAUUAAGAUGUCACCGAUAAUUAAACAAAAUUACAGAAAAAUUAAUAUGUUUGUACCUGA